This 253-nucleotide ribosomal RNA is filed under the name uncultured bacterium. Its description in RNAcentral is "partial 16S ribosomal RNA". It matches the Rfam family "Bacterial small subunit ribosomal RNA", at positions 524 to 776 of the family's 1533-position model. The record is from RNAcentral.
CACGUAGGGUGCGAGCGUUAAUCGGAAUUACUGGGCGUAAAGCGUGCGCAGGCGGUUUUGUAAACCAGAUGUGAAAGCCCCGGGCUUAACCUGGGAAUGGCAUUUGGGACUGCAAGGCUUGAGUGCGGCAGAGGAGACUGGAAUUCCCGGUGUAGCAGUGAAAUGCGUAGAUAUCGGGAGGAAUACCGAUGGCGAAGGCAGGUCUCUGGGCUGACACUGACGCUCAUGCACGAAAGCGUGGGGAGCAAACAGG